RNAcentral lists this ribosomal RNA (329 nucleotides) under uncultured eukaryote. Its description in RNAcentral is "partial 18S ribosomal RNA". It matches the Rfam family "Eukaryotic small subunit ribosomal RNA", at positions 1470 to 1796 of the family's 1831-position model. The record is from RNAcentral.
CCCUUAGAUGUUCUGGGCCGCACGCGCGCUACACUGACGAUGGCAACGAGUUUUUCCUUCGCCGAAAGGUGUGGGUAAUCUUUUGAAACAUCGUCGUGCUGGGGAUAGAUCAUUGCAAUUUUUGAUCUUGAACGAGGAAUUCCUAGUAAGCGCGAGUCAUCAGCUCGCGUUGAUUACGUCCCUGCCCUUUGUACGCACCGCCCGUCGCUACUACCGAUUGAAUGGUUUAGUGAGGACUCCUGAUUGGCGCCGCCGCCCCGGCAACGGAGCAGCGGACUGCCGAAAAGUUGUUCAAACUUGAUCAUUUAGAGGAAGUAAAAGUCGUAACA